UGUAUUUUUAGUAGAGACGAGGUUUCACCAUGUUGGCCAGGUUGGUCUCAAACUCCUGACCUCAAGUGAUCCACCCGCCUCAGCCUCCCAAAGUGCUGGGAUUACAGGCAUGAGCCACCAUGCCCGGCCUCCCAGUUUUCAUGAAGAGGAAGUGAUGGUAGCUUUUCAUCUGCCCAGAAGUUAACUUUUGAUGGAUUUGCCUUCUAAGGCAUCAAACAUGUCUUCUAAGGCCUUCUCCACACAUUGGAGAAACUCCCGGACAUUGCGGCCUGGGUAGGAAGAGACAUUGCAGCCUAUCCAGUUGUCAUGAACAGCAUACCCAACACCAAAGCCAUCAGAGACCACGGGGGCAAAGCCCCCAAGGUUCACUGCUGGGCUGCUCAGCGUGCUCGUGGACAGGACAUUGUGGUUUAUCUGCCCAUAUGCAGGGUCCAGGUAUGUCAGAGGAAACUCGGGGGCAGGGCUGCUGUCUGAGAGAAUGUACUUCAGAUGCGCCUGGAUUUCCGAGGGGCUCACAAUGUUCC
RNAcentral lists this non-coding RNA (524 nucleotides) under Pongo abelii (Sumatran orangutan). The record is from RNAcentral. Lineage: Eukaryota; Metazoa; Chordata; Mammalia; Primates; Hominidae.